Molecule: long non-coding RNA, 1112 nt
Organism: Boleophthalmus pectinirostris (great blue-spotted mudskipper)
Lineage: Eukaryota; Metazoa; Chordata; Actinopteri; Gobiiformes; Gobiidae
Exons: 3
Source: RefSeq, a predicted model, not a curated record
GAAAACAGAAAGGCUGUGUCCCAAUUCGAGGGCUGCAGCCUCCGAAGGCUGGUUUUAAGGCCGCAUACGUCACUUCCGGUGAAAGAAGGCCUGUCCCAUUUCAUUUUUAUGUCAUGCAGCCUUCAAAUGCAGCCCUAAAACCGGCCUCGUUUCCAUGGAAAUGGGGCCGCGAACGGAGGACACAUCCGAGUAUCCUUCGCAGCCUUCAGUAUCCCAGCAUGCACCGCGCGGCGGCAGUCAGAUGUUCGAAAACACGGAGCAAAAAGCCGGUCCCGAGAGCGGAGAAAAACAUCCUCCUGUAUGAGGACGCGACACACUGCAGGGGCCACAGAACUGUUGGCUGACAAGAUGCUUGUGAUUCAUAAAAUGGGUCAAAUGCAGAUGACAAAGUAAAGCCAACGCUGAGCUGGAGGUGCUGACCCAGACUCCUGCCAACGAUUAGGUUUUCACUCUACAGGACAGAACUUUGAAUCAAUCAGACGCAACAACCAUUCUGCUCUUCCUCCUCCAGAAGACGAGAGACACAUCACACUGAGUGGUCCAAGUCCACUGUCCAUGUCUCCACUGUCCAUGUCUCCAAUGUCCAUGUCUCCACUGUCCAUGUCUCCACUGUCCAUGUCUCCACUGUCCAUGUCUCCACUGUCCAUGUCCACUGUCCAUGUCUCCACUGUCCAUGUCCAGAGUCUCUGAGGAGCAGGUCCAGAGUCUCAUAUGAUCUGAACAAGUGUGUGAGACAGAAAUGAAAACAUCUGCUCAUAAGUGUUUCUGAAUGUUUUUCAGCCUGUACUGACAUUUGAUUUAUGGCGAAAUGUGCCAUUUAUUUGGUGUCUCUUUUGAUAGUAACUAAUUACAUGUACUAUAAGAAUGUACUAUUGUACUGCAGAUAAGCUGUGGUAUUCCACAUGACCAUAUCUGGCAAAGAUAAUUUGUUCAUUUUUGAUUGUCACUUGCUUCAGCAAAAAGGGAACACAAUGAGAUUUACUGACAUACAGCUGUUUGUACUAACUUGUUAAUGCAGAGUGUGUGUAAUGGGUUUAAUAUUUGACUUCAUAUUAUGAUAAAGUAUUUCCAGAAGUUCCUUGGAUUGUUUAAUAAAUCAUCUUUUCUCAGGA